Molecule: long non-coding RNA, 218 nt
Organism: Alligator sinensis (Chinese alligator)
Lineage: Eukaryota; Metazoa; Chordata; Crocodylia; Alligatoridae
Exons: 3
Source: RefSeq, a predicted model, not a curated record
CGUGAAAAGACUGAAAUCGAUUCUGCGUGCUGUGAGUGACCCACGAAAAUCUCUCCGUCUUGCUGCAAUUUAGCAUUUGAGAAACGUGGAAGCUUAGGGCUUGAAGAUCUGGCCUAUAAUCAUGCCAUUGACUUCCAAAUGAGAAAUGAGACUGGAUUCAAAGCGAUACCAGAGUCAGCGGAUUGAAAUGGGGAGUUCAUAAAUCUAGGAGGAAGAAC